UUUGACCUGAAAUCAGGUAGGGCUACCCGCUGAACUUAAGCAUAUCAAUAAGCGGAGGAAAAGAAACUAACAAGGAUUCCCCUAGUAACGGCGAGUGAACCGGGAAGAGCUCAAAUUUGAAAUCUGGCGUGCUCAGUGCGUCCGAGUUGUAAUCUAUAGAGUCGUUUUCCGUGCCGGACUGUGUCCAAGUCCCUUGGAACAGGGUAUCAAAGAGGGUGAUAAUCCCGUACUUGACACAAUGACCGGUGCUCUGUGAUACGUCUUCUACGAGUCGAGUUGUUUGGGAAUGCAGCUCAAAAUGGGUGGUGAGUUCCAUCUAAAGCUAAAUAUUGGCGAGAGACCGAUAGCGAACAAGUACCGUGAGGGAAAGAUGAAAAGCACUUUGGAAAGAGAGUUAAACAGUACGUGAAAUUGUUAAAAGGGAAACGAUUGAAGUCAGUCGUGACUGAGAGGCUCAGCCGGUUCUGCCGGUGUAUUCCCCUCAGUCGGGUCAACAUCAGUUUUGUUCGGUGGAUAAGGGCAGUUGGAAGGUGGCACCCUCGGGUGUGUUAUAGCCAGCUGUCGCAUACAUCGGAUGAGACUGAGGAAUGCAGCUCGCCUUUAUGGCCGGGGUUCGCCCACGUUCGAGCUUAGGAUGUUGACAUAAUGGCUUUAAACGACCCGUCUUGAAACACGGACC
This 679-nucleotide ribosomal RNA is filed under the name Papiliotrema flavescens. RNAcentral describes it as "eukaryotic LSU rRNA". It matches the Rfam family "Eukaryotic large subunit ribosomal RNA", at positions 1 to 667 of the family's 3401-position model. Lineage: Eukaryota; Fungi; Basidiomycota; Tremellomycetes; Tremellales; Rhynchogastremaceae. The record is from RNAcentral.